UUCCGCAUACCACAUAAAAACACACACCUUUUUCUCUCUCCUCUCUGUCUUCUCUCUCUCAUUGGUAAUCUGGACCAGCUGGUACGAGGAAGCAAUUAAGGGAGAAAUGUGAUAAAAAUCAAUGGAUUCAACCCGCGAUUCUCUGGUAAUUCAACAAACUCAAUCUUCCCUUUUUGUUUUAUAUAUAAAUUUCUGGGUAUUUAUUGAUCUGUUAUGAUUUCUUCAGAGUUCGAGUUCAUUAACAAUCUCAGAGAAAAUAUGUGCUGCAUUUUUCCCAAUAAUAGCACU
This 288-nucleotide long non-coding RNA is filed under the name Nicotiana tabacum (common tobacco). RNAcentral describes it as "long non-coding RNA (NTAB_LNC013458)". The record is from RNAcentral. Lineage: Eukaryota; Viridiplantae; Streptophyta; Magnoliopsida; Solanales; Solanaceae.